Molecule: non-coding RNA, 31 nt
Filed under: Mus musculus (house mouse)
Lineage: Eukaryota; Metazoa; Chordata; Mammalia; Rodentia; Muridae
Source: RNAcentral
UAGAAAAACCACAUUGUUUACAGCCCUGCCC